This 492-nucleotide ribosomal RNA is filed under the name uncultured bacterium. RNAcentral describes it as "partial 16S ribosomal RNA". It matches the Rfam family "Bacterial small subunit ribosomal RNA", at positions 30 to 507 of the family's 1533-position model. The record is from RNAcentral.
AUUGAACGCUGGCGGCAUGCUUUACACAUGCAAGUCGAACGGUAACAGGCCUUCGGGUGCUGACGAGUGGCGAACGGGUGUGUAAUGCAUCGGAACGUACCCAGAGGUGGGGGAUAACGCAGCGAAAGCUGUGCUAAUACCGCAUGUGAUCUGAGGAUGAAAGCGGGGGACCGAGCAGCAAUGUUUGGCCUCGCGCCUUUGGAGCGGCCGAUGUCGGAUUAGCUAGUUGGUGGGGUAAAGGCCUACCAAGGCGACGAUCCGUAGCUGGUCUGAGAGGACGACCAGCCACACUGGGACUGAGACACGGCCCAGACUCCUACGGGAGGCAGCAGUGGGGAAUUUUGGACAAUGGGCGCAAGCCUGAUCCAGCAAUGCCGCGUGCGGGAAGAAGGCCUUCGGGUUGUAAACCGCUUUUGGCAGGAACGAAACGGUGUCCGCUAAUACCGGGCGCUAAUGACGGUACCUGCAGAAUAAGCACCGGCUAACUACGUG